UGGGGAAUAUUGCACAAUGGGCGCAAGCCUGAUGCAGCCAUGCCGCGUGUAUGAAGAAGGCCUUCGGGUUGUAAAGUACUUUCAGCCGGGAGGAAGCUGUCAAGGUUAAUAACCUUGGCAAUUGACGUUACCGACAGAAGAAGCACCGGCUAACUCCGUGCCAGCAGCCGCGGUAAUACGGAGGGUGCAAGCGUUAAUCGGAAUUACUGGGCGUAAAGCGCACGCAGGCGGUUGAUUGAGUCAGAUGUGAAAUCCCCGGGCUUAACCCGGGAAGUGCAUCUGAUACUGGUCAGCUAGAGUCUUGUAGAGGGGGGUAGAAUUCCAUGUGUAGCGGUGAAAUGCGUAGAGAUGUGGAGGAAUACCGGUGGCGAAGGCGGCCCCCUGGACAAAGACUGACGCUCAGGUGCGAAAGCGUGGGGAGCAAACAGG
Molecule: ribosomal RNA, 429 nt
Filed under: Chloroflexota bacterium
Lineage: Bacteria; Bacillati; Chloroflexota
Description: Chloroflexi bacterium partial 16S ribosomal RNA
Rfam family: Bacterial small subunit ribosomal RNA
Source: RNAcentral